GGGGUUGUAGUUCAGUGGUAGAGCACUUGCCUAGCAUACAUGAGGCACUGGGUUCAAUCCUCAGCACCA
Molecule: transfer RNA, 69 nt
Filed under: Ictidomys tridecemlineatus (thirteen-lined ground squirrel)
Lineage: Eukaryota; Metazoa; Chordata; Mammalia; Rodentia; Sciuridae
Also listed under: 1 other name
Description: Spermophilus tridecemlineatus (thirteen-lined ground squirrel) tRNA
Rfam family: tRNA
About the family: Transfer RNA (tRNA) molecules are approximately 80 nucleotides in length. Their secondary structure includes four short double-helical elements and three loops (D, anti-codon, and T loops).
Source: Rfam by way of RNAcentral